AUGGCCAUCUAUGGGAAUAAUCAGGUUUCUUUUGCGAGAGCAAGAGAGAACAGCUGGCGACAUGGUACGGCUCUUAGUGAGAUGGGGAAGGAUUCAUACGCUGAUUGUGUCUACCACAAUGGCAGAUUCUACACGGUGACAAUGUGUGGGGUGGUCGAGACAUGGGAUCUCAAUAAAGAGCCAGCACAUGAACCAAACAAACAGGUGAUCAUUGCUGGCGGGGAUGGAAGAUACAGGAGGAUUCUUACCCGGUUCCUGGUGUCUACUCCCUGGGGUUGUCUCCUGCAGAUCCGAACUCAACGGCGCAAUGAUCAUCCUAGGAAGGUCAUGGUUGAGGUGUUUGAAGUCAAUGUCGAGGAGCACAAACUUGUCAGACUGAGUUCUGCCACAGCCUUCCAGGAGCACGCAGUGUUUGUUGGGUUGAAUGAAUCCGUAUGUUUGCAUACCAAAGAUUACAAGGAGCUAAGACCCAACCAUGUCUAUUUUGCCACACCUUGGUUGACACAGGAAGCAAAUUUUGGUCUCAGGGGCUGGAAAGGUGUAGUGAUUUAUGACCUGGAAAAUCAGACGUUUGAGGAAGUUCUUCCUGCAUCUAAAUAUUCUGCAUUUUGUCCCCAGCAAGUUUGGUUCAUUCCAAAUAUCUGA
Molecule: ribosomal RNA, 645 nt
Filed under: Triticum aestivum (bread wheat)
Lineage: Eukaryota; Viridiplantae; Streptophyta; Magnoliopsida; Poales; Poaceae
Description: partial small subunit ribosomal RNA
Source: RNAcentral